GAGCAGUCUGGUAGCUCGUCGGGCUCAUAACCCGAAGGUCGUUGGUUCAAAUCCAGCUCCCGCAACCA
Molecule: transfer RNA, 68 nt
Filed under: Pseudomonas aeruginosa
Lineage: Bacteria; Pseudomonadati; Pseudomonadota; Gammaproteobacteria; Pseudomonadales; Pseudomonadaceae
Description: tRNA-Met
Rfam family: tRNA
About the family: Transfer RNA (tRNA) molecules are approximately 80 nucleotides in length. Their secondary structure includes four short double-helical elements and three loops (D, anti-codon, and T loops).
Source: RNAcentral